GACGAACGCUGGCGGCGUGCCUAAUACAUGCAAGUAGAACGCUGAAGGAGGAGCUUGCUUCUCUGGAUGAGUUGCGAACGGGUGAGUAACGCGUAGGUAACCUGCCUGGUAGCGGGGGAUAACUAUUGGAAACGAUAGCUAAUACCGCAUAAGAGUAGAUGCUGCAUGACAUUUGCUUAAAAGGUGCAAUUGCAUCACUACCAGAUGGACCUGCGUUGUAUUAGCUAGUUGGUGUGGUAACGGCUCACCAAGGCGACGAUACAUAGCCGACCGGCGAGGGGGGUCGGCCACACUGGGACUGAGACCCGGCCCAGAGGCCUACAGGAGGCAGCAGGAGGGAUUCUUGGGGAAUGGGCGGAAGACUGACCGAGAAACGCGGAGGGAGUGAAGAAGGAUUUCGGAUCGGAAAGCUCGGUUGUAAGAGAAGAACGAGUGUGAGAGUGGAAAGUUCACACUGUGACGGUAUCUUACCAGAAAGGGACGGCUAACUACGUG
RNAcentral lists this ribosomal RNA (495 nucleotides) under uncultured bacterium. RNAcentral describes it as "partial 16S ribosomal RNA". It matches the Rfam family "Bacterial small subunit ribosomal RNA", at positions 28 to 507 of the family's 1533-position model. The record is from RNAcentral.